RNAcentral lists this ribosomal RNA (464 nucleotides) under uncultured bacterium. RNAcentral describes it as "bacterial SSU rRNA". It matches the Rfam family "Bacterial small subunit ribosomal RNA", at positions 28 to 507 of the family's 1533-position model. The record is from RNAcentral.
GACGAACGCUGGCGGCGUGCUUAACACAUGCAAGUCGAACGGUGACGGAGAGCUUGCUCUCCUGAUCAGUGGCGAACGGGUGAGUAACACGUGGGCAACCUGCCCCAGACUUCGGGAUAACGCUUCGAAAGAGGUGCUAAUACCGAAUACGAACGCCGUGGGCAUCCACGGUGUUGGAAAGUUUUCGGUCUGGGAUGGGCCCGCGGCCUAUCAGCUUGUUGGUGAGGUAAUGGCUCACCAAGGCGACGACGGGUAGCCGGCCUGAGAGGGCGACCGGCCACACUGGGACUGAGACACGGCCCAGACUCCUACGGGAGGCAGCAGUGGGGAAUAUUGCGCAAUGGGCGAAAGCCUGACGCAGCAACGCCGCGUGGGGGAUGAAGGCCUUCGGGUUGUAACCUCUUCUAGCAGGGAAGAAGCGAAAGUGACGGUACCUGCAGAAGAAAGCACCGGCUAACUACGUG